Molecule: ribosomal RNA, 429 nt
Filed under: Chloroflexota bacterium
Lineage: Bacteria; Bacillati; Chloroflexota
Description: Chloroflexi bacterium partial 16S ribosomal RNA
Rfam family: Bacterial small subunit ribosomal RNA
Source: RNAcentral
UAGGGAAUCUUCGGCAAUGGACGAAAGUCUGACCGAGCAACGCCGCGUGAGUGAAGAAGGUUUUCGGAUCGUAAAACUCUGUUGUUAGAGAAGAACAAGGACGUUAGUAACUGAACGUCCCCUGACGGUAUCUAACCAGAAAGCCACGGCUAACUACGUGCCAGCAGCCGCGGUAAUACGUAGGUGGCAAGCGUUGUCCGGAUUUAUUGGGCGUAAAGCGAGCGCAGGCGGUUUCUUAAGUCUGAUGUGAAAGCCCCCGGCUCAACCGGGGAGGGUCAUUGGAAACUGGGGGAGUUGAGUGCAGAAGAGGGGAGUGGAAUUCCAUGUGUAGCGGUGAAAUGCGUAGAUAUAUGGAGGAACAACAGUGGCGAAGGCGGCUCUCUGGUCAGUAACUAACGCAGAGGCUCGAAAGCGUGGGGAGCAAACAGG